CAAGUUUCCUGAUUCAAAGAAUGAAGAAUGAUCCACAACAUUACUCGUCUACAGCUCUGAGUCUGCCCUGAGGCACAGCAGAUUUAUACACUACAUCUACACUGCUGAUCAUGAUGAGGCCUUUGCAGUCAUUUGGGUGUGUCUCCUCCUCUGUGGAAAGCAUUGUGCUUUUCCAUUCAAAAAGAAACCAGUUUAGCUGAAGGUCAUCAGCAGUGAACUCUGGAAAUGUUUGAAUCUACAGAAAAACAUAAGAGGGAG
Gasterosteus aculeatus aculeatus (three-spined stickleback) is the source of this 258-nucleotide long non-coding RNA. Lineage: Eukaryota; Metazoa; Chordata; Actinopteri; Perciformes; Gasterosteidae. The record is from Ensembl.